GCUUAGAAGUGAGAAUGCCGGUGUGAGUAGCGAAAGACGGGUGAGAAUCCCGUCCACCGAUUGACUAAGGUUUCCAGAGGAAGGCUCGUCCGCUCUGGGUUAGUCGGGUCCUAAGCUGAGGCCGACAGGCGUAGGCGAUGGAUAACAGGUUGAUAUUCCUGUACCACCUAUAAUCGUUUUAAUCGAUGGGGGGACGCAGUAGGAUAGGCGAAGCGUGCGAUUGGAUUGCACGUCUAAGCAGUAAGGCUGAGUAUUAGGCAAAUCCGGUACUCGUUAAGGCUGAGCUGUGAUGGGGAGAAGACAUUGUGUCUUCGAGUCGUUGAUUUCACACUGCCGAGAAAAGCCUCUAGAUAGAAAAUAGGUGCCCGUACCGCAAACCGACACAGGUAGUCAAGAUGAGAAUUCUAAGGUGAGCGAGCGAACUCUCGUUAAGGAACUCGGCAAAAUGACCCCGUAACUUCGGGAGAAGGGGUGCUCUUUAGGGUUAACGCCCAGAAGAGCCGCAGUGAAUAGGCCCAAGCGACUGUUUAUCAAAAACACAGGUCUCUGCUAAACCGUAAGGUGAUGUAUAGGGGCUGACGCCUGCCCGGUGCUGGAAGGUUAAGAGGAGUGGUUAGCUUCUGCGAAGCUACGAAUCGAAGCCCCAGUAAACGGCGGCCGUAACUAUAACGGUCCUAAGGUAGCGAAAUUCCUUGUCGGGUAAGUUCCGACCCGCACGAAAGGCGUAACGAUUUGGGCACUGUCUCAACGAGAGACUCGGUGAAAUCAUAGUACCUGUGAAGAUGCAGGUUACCCGCGACAGGACGGAAAGACCCCGUGGAGCUUUACUGUAGCCUGAUAUUGAAAUUCGGCACAGCUUGUACAGGAUAGGUAGGAGCCUUUGAAACGUGAGCGCUAGCUUACGUGGAGGCGCUGGUGGGAUACUACCCUAGCUGUGUUGGCUUUCUAACCCGCACCACUUAUCGUGGUGGGAGACAGUGUCAGGCGGGCAGUUUGACUGGGGCGGUCGCCUCCUAAAAGGUAACGGAGGCGCUCAAAGGUUCCCUCAGAAUGGUUGGAAAUCAUUCAUAGAGUGUAAAGGCAUAAGGGAGCUUGACUGCGAGACCUACAAGUCGAGCAGGGUCGAAAGACGGACUUAGUGAUCCGGUGGUUCCGCAUGGAAGGGCCAUCGCUCAACGGAUAAAAGCUACCCCGGGGAUAACAGGCUUAUCUCCCCCAAGAGUUCACAUCGACGGGGAGGUUUGGCACCUCGAUGUCGGCUCAUCGCAUCCUGGGGCUGUAGUCGGUCCCAAGGGUUGGGCUGUUCGCCCAUUAAAGCGGUACGCGAGCUGGGUUCAGAACGUCGUGAGACAGUUCGGUCCCUAUCCGUCGUGGGCGUAGGAAAUUUGAGAGGAGCUGUCCUUAGUACGAGAGGACCGGGAUGGACAUACCUCUGGUGUACCAGUUGUCGUGCCAACGGCAUAGCUGGGUAGCUAUGUGUGGACGGGAUAAGUGCUGAAAGCAUCUAAGCAUGAAGCCCCCCUCAAGAUGAGAUUUCCCAACUUCGGUUAUAAGAUCCCUCAAAGAUGAUGAGGUUAAUAGGUUCGAGGUGGAAGCAUGGUGACAUGUGGAGCUGACGAAUACUAAUCGAUCGAAGACUUAAUCAAAA
RNAcentral lists this ribosomal RNA (1648 nucleotides) under Staphylococcus aureus. RNAcentral's name for it is "partial 23S ribosomal RNA". It matches the Rfam family "Bacterial large subunit ribosomal RNA", at positions 1280 to 2925 of the family's 2925-position model. The record is from RNAcentral. Lineage: Bacteria; Bacillati; Bacillota; Bacilli; Caryophanales; Staphylococcaceae.